This 406-nucleotide ribosomal RNA is filed under the name uncultured bacterium. Its description in RNAcentral is "bacterial SSU rRNA". It matches the Rfam family "Bacterial small subunit ribosomal RNA", at positions 32 to 432 of the family's 1533-position model. The record is from RNAcentral.
AAUCAACGCUGGCGGCGUGCCUCAGACAUGCAAGUCGAACGAUUAAAGCUCUCUUCGGAGAGUGCAUAAAGUGGCGCACGGGUGAGUAACACGUAAGUAAUCUACCUUCGAGUGGGGAAUAACGUCCGGAAACGGACGCUAAUACCGCAUAACGCAGCGGCAUCGCAAGAUGACAGUUGUUAAAGAUUUAUCGCUUGAAGAGGAGCUUGCGGCAGAUUAGCUUGUUGGUAAGGUAACGGCUUACCAAGGCUACGAUCUGUAUCCGGUCUAAGAGGACGGUCGGACACACUGACACUGAAUAACGGGUCAGACUCCUACGGGAGGCAGCAGUCGGGAAUUUUGGGCAAUGGGGGAAACCCUGACCCAGCAACGCCGCGUGAGUGAAGAAGGCCUCGGGUCGUAAGCU